ACUGGGGAGGGGUUCAUUAAAUUCAGUUAUAGUUCCCUUUUGAUAAUCCCUUUACUAACUUGGAUAACCGUUAGUAAAUUUCUAGAUUCCAUUGGUAAAGAGGUUUUUAGAGGGACGUUCAUUUUACAAGAUGAAGGGAAGAUGGCGGCAAUAACAGGUCUGUGAUGCCCUUAGAUGUCCUGGGCCGCACGCGCGCUACACUGAUGCACUCAACGAGCAUAUAACCUUGGCCGAGAGGCCUGGGUAAUCUUGUUAACAUGCAUCGUGAUAGGGAUCGAUUAUUGCAAUUAUUAAUCUUGAACGAGGAAUUCCUAGUAAUCGCAGAUCAUCAAUCUGCAAUGAUUACGUCCCUGCCCUUUGUACACACCGCCCGUCGCACCUACCGAUUGAAUGGUCCGGUGAAGCCUUGGGAUUGUGGUCUGGAUCCUUUAUUGGGGCCUGACUGUAAAACUGUCUAAACCUAUCAUAGAGGAAGGGAAGUGAACAGGCCCUCUCCCUUG
This 500-nucleotide ribosomal RNA is filed under the name uncultured diatom. RNAcentral describes it as "bacterial SSU rRNA". It matches the Rfam family "Eukaryotic small subunit ribosomal RNA", at positions 1357 to 1831 of the family's 1831-position model. Lineage: Eukaryota; Bacillariophyta. The record is from RNAcentral.